CCGUGUGGCAAGACGCUGCGGU
RNAcentral lists this unclassified non-coding RNA (22 nucleotides) under Chlamydomonas reinhardtii. Its description in RNAcentral is "small RNA Cre_1138". Lineage: Eukaryota; Viridiplantae; Chlorophyta; Chlorophyceae; Chlamydomonadales; Chlamydomonadaceae. The record is from RNAcentral.